AGUGCCUUUCUGGUUUCAGUGGUAGAUAGACAAAUCACGUGUCAGCUCUAGUGAAGACUACUGCCUGGUCUGAUAGCAGCAGUAGAACCCUGAGGUAAGGACUUAUCUGAUCUGCCAUAAGCCAAUCAUGGGUUCGAGGUUCCUAAGCUGUGUGGCCUUCUGCCUCUUAGGAGUAGGUCCCCUGGAGACGGCUGUUUUUCAGACUCCAAAACAUCUUGUCACACAGGUGGGAAAUAACGCGUUUCUCCAGUGUGAACAAAAGCUGGGCCAUGAUGCUAUGUACUGGUACAAGCAAGACUCUAAGCAAUUGCUGAAGAUCAUGUUUAUCUACAAUAAUAAGCAACUCAUUUUAAAUGAAUCAGUUCCGAGUCGCUUCUCACCCCAGUCUCCAGAUAAAGCUCUUUUGAAUCUUCAUGUCAAGUCUUUAGAACUGGAUGACACUGCUGUGUACUUUUGUGCCAGCAGCUAUGGCACAGCCAUGCAGAGCCACUGCUUCCCCGUGCACAAACCCAGCCAGCCAGGAAGCAGUGGGCCUUGA
This is a non-coding RNA of Peromyscus leucopus (white-footed mouse), 538 nucleotides long. The record is from the annotation of a RefSeq genome assembly. NCBI's taxonomy places the organism in Eukaryota, Metazoa, Chordata, Mammalia, Rodentia, Cricetidae.